AUUUUCACUUUCAGGCCCUCCUGUCCCAACUUAAUGUAAUAAUAAAAAUAGGUACUUUUUAGUCUAUUUAAAUGGCAUUUUAAAUAUUUAUAUUGCUUUUUUAAAGAAAAAGAAACUAAAUGUUGGUCAAAACUAUUAUAAUGAUGAGAUCUUAAUCUAGGAAACUGCCAUGUGUUGCAAUUCACUUUGUGCUUUGACACUACUUUCACUGUGAAACUAUUUUCACUGCCAAAAGCAAAAUAUCAUUAAAUACUUAUACUUUUAUUCUGUUCUUUUUUUUUUUUUUAACUACAUUUUGCAUUCAAUUUAGAUUCAUGCUACAUUGGCAUUUCAAAGUGAAAGAUGUCCAGAGACCAGUUUUAAUACUACAGCUAUAAUUUACUCUGAAUGGUGUUAUAGCCUCUACAUGCCAGCAGACUGGUUUCCAGAAAACACUUCAGGGCUUUAUGUGCCUACUGUAUGGAUGGAUGGCAAGCUUUGUGUCCACGCAAGAGUUACCUACACCUAUGAGACUCUACACACAGCAGAAGAUGUGCAUCCUGCUUGGGAGACCGCUUACAACCACAAGUCUUGCUGUUUGGCAUGAGAAGAAAGGAGCAGGUCGCAGAGAACAUCCUCUAGCAGUACAAGAUAAAGAUUUGAUUGCAACAAGCUAUAUGCUGCUGAGACAUAUUGCACUGCAGGUACAAUCAUGUACGCUUACUAUCUCUCAUUGGCCCAACAAAGUAAGAUGCAAUAACUUCUUGGAGGAAUUUCAAGGUUAAUCUUGAUUAGACAGUGAUGUAUCCUAGUGCUUAAAGUACUAGAAUGUGAAAAAUGAGUUUAAAUCUUUUCUAGUAGAAGAGGAAUUCUACUCAAGUUUCUCAGACAUACUGGAUAAGUUAUCCACUGCAUAAUGAAACAAAAAUAUAAUUGCAUUAUUACUCUGUGAAUGCAAUUCAGCUUCCUUAAUGUAAGUUUCUGAUACUAUAUCAAAUGUUACAUCUCAUGUAGCAGAGCAGAAAGGUCCAGGUUUCCCAGAGAUCCUGUAUUAAAUUUGGACCCAUGUGGAUGUCUCAUAUAGCACUGGACGUAUCAAAUGGAAGUUCAAAUGCCCAAGGAGGUUGUGGAUGCCCCAUCCCUGGAUGCAUUCAAGGCCAGGCUGGAUGUGGCUCUGGGCAGCCUGGUCUAGUGGUUGGCGACCCUGCACAUAGCAGGGGGGUUGAAACUAGAUGAUUAUUGUGGAUUCUUUCAACCCAGGCCAUUCUAUGAUUCUAUGAAAUGGAACUGGUGCCUCUAUUGAGACAGAAUAUCCUCUUGGUCUUCUGAGUUGGAGCUGUUGUAGUUAUUUAAUUACAGCAGAAUGUCCACGUUAUAAAUACGAGUGGAGAUAAGCUCCUUGACAGGAUGAGGAAGGAAACAGCCUUGUCCCAGACCUUGGCAUCAGAAUUGGAGACUUUCAGUCACAAAAAUUUGACUUGGAACUGGGACUGUAAUUAACAGAUCAUGCAAUCUUAAGGAUGGGUUUUGUGCAGUCUUCUGAUGUUGAACUAGACAUAAAACAAUCCCCAAAAUGGAAGGUAAGACUGAUUAUUCCUAUUGAUGCCUAUUAAUUUUAGCCUGUUGCAUUUAUUUAAGGACAAAUGACGCCUGCUUAUACACAUAUCAUCUAUCUAGGCAAGCACACUGAGAUGUAAAAUCAGAGACCUGAUACUGAUGGAAGGUUGAACUUAGGGCACAACCUUAUUGUUUCCAAUCAAAUUGUUUCUUUUUUUUUCAGUGCUUGACUCUUUUUACUUUCUCAUGUUAAUUUUUGAGGACAAUGGGACUAAUACUGAACACAUUAAAGCAGAUGUAAAUGAGAAAUAAUUUCACUGAGUUUCAUUUUGUUUCACUUACACAUCAAAGCUAUGAUUUCUUCUCAAGAUCUUGCUGUCAGCUUUACAUUCAAUUAAACACAUGUAGCCUUUGAAAUACAGAGGAGCUGAACAAGGCUUUUAAGCAAAUCCAAAAAUUAGUGAAAGUGUCAUUAGCUCAUUAUUGUACUCAGAAUUUCCUUUUUCUUUCUUUUCUUUUUUUUUUUUUUAAUGAAAGAAAAUUCUAAAUUGCUAAAAUUAAUACAAGAUGUUCACAGGCUUCUCUAGUCACAACAUAAUGAGUCAUGUACCAGUAACUCGCUUGGUGUGUCUUAGUUAACUGCCCUUCGUUAUGAUGAUACUGUUAUUACACAUCAUUGUAGCAAGACACCCAGAUUGGCACAGUGUUUGCUACAGAUGAGAAUUUCAGCUGAUCAAUUAGAUAAGCUUCAAAGAGCAUAAUUGCUGCCUUCCAGUUACUUUAAUCUCCUUCUUUUUGUGUGUAUACAAAAUAUGCCAUAACUGUCUUUUCAGUUCUGUUGUGUGAAAACUCUAAGUUGUUUUAGUCUUAGGAUACACUUUAUAUGUAUAUGGCCUGUGAUUUUUGUGCUUCUGAAAUGUCACAACUUUAAAUGGUAAUAUCUUCUAAUCAGCCAAUCAUUAGUUGAGCUUGAUUCUAAGUUCUUCACCAUUAUUUGCAGAUUGUUAGCCCUUUGAGAAGUGGGUGGGAAGAGGUAUGAGCAGGGGCUCACUACCUCCUGAUUUCUUUUAUUUUUCUGAAAUAAGAAAAUGAUACUGCAGUUAUGUCAGGUGGAUAGUAUACAAGUGGUAACCAGAUGGGGAGGAAAUAUAAAAAAGCUUGGAUUUGGCCACUCUUCUUGGGGAGGAGAAACGCAAAGACUUAAAGGAGAAAAAAGAAGGAGAUGGUAUGGGAGUCUGCUCUGCUGGUGCAGGCAAGUGAGAAUCACCUAGGCACAGAUGCAUAUCAAGUGCCAAGAGACCCAGAAGCACCUCCCAUUCUCAUUUACCUUUCCUAUUGCCUAAAAUUAAUUACGUCUUGCCACAGCUAGGUCUGGGUGUAAACGCAGAGAUAAGAGAUAAAAUUCCCAUUGAGUGAGGGGAAAAAAAUUGUUAUUGAGAAGAAAAGCUACAUGGAUGCUUAACUCACUGUGAACUGUAAUACUGACCCCAAGAAAAAGAAGUGUGAGACUGAAGUCCUAUUUACUAUUGCAAAGACUACUGAAAGAAGAAAUAGAAGAGAGUGUUUUGAAGAAAAAAAAAAAAAAGAGAGAUACAAUGGUUUUACUGGAAGAGAGAAAAAACAAAGAGAGACCAGAACAAAAAUUUUUACAAGCAUUUAUGUACAGGAUUUAUGAUGAAUCUUUGAAGCUUGGU
Molecule: long non-coding RNA, 3230 nt
Filed under: Meleagris gallopavo (turkey)
Lineage: Eukaryota; Metazoa; Chordata; Aves; Galliformes; Phasianidae
Description: lncRNA (ENSMGAG00000020997.1)
Source: RNAcentral